Molecule: ribosomal RNA, 497 nt
Filed under: uncultured bacterium
Lineage: Bacteria
Description: partial 16S ribosomal RNA
Rfam family: Bacterial small subunit ribosomal RNA
Source: RNAcentral
GAUGAACGCUGGCGGCGUGCCUAAUACAUGCAAGUCGAGCGAACGGACGAGAAGCUUGCUUCUCUGAUGUUAGCGGCGGACGGGUGAGUAACACGUGGAUAACCUACCUAUAAGACUGGGAUAACUUCGGGAAACCGGAGCUAAUACCGGAUGAUAUUUUGAACCGCAUGGUUCAAAAGUGAAAGACGGUCUUGCUGUCGCUUAUAGAUGGAUCCGCGCUGCAUUAGCUAGUUGGUAAGGUAACGGCUUACCAAGGCAACGUUGCAUAGCCGACCUGAGAGGGUGAUCGGCCACACUGGAACUGAGACACGGUCCAGACUCCUACGGGAGGCAGCAGUAGGGAAUCUUCCGCAAUGGGCGAAAGCCUGACGGAGCAACGCCGCGUGAGUGAUGAAGGUCUUCGGAUCGUAAAACUCUGUUAUUAGGGAAGAACAUAUGUGUAAGUAACUGUGCACAUCUUGACGGUACCUAAUCAGAAAGCCACGGCUAACUACGUG